GAUCUGAUGAUGGGAUCCCAGAGAAAUCGAGGGAAACUCUUGAAAAUCCGCAAUAACUUUUUACUGGGUGUACCGAUUUUGAUAAUUCUUUUUUGUUGGAAAGAAGAUAUCCCUAGUUUAGUACCAUGAUAGGGAAACCAGGAUCUGAUGAUGGGAUCCCAGAGAAAUCGAGGGAACUUCUUGAAAAUCCGCAAUAACUUUUUAUU
Molecule: unclassified non-coding RNA, 206 nt
Filed under: Melitaea cinxia (Glanville fritillary)
Lineage: Eukaryota; Metazoa; Arthropoda; Insecta; Lepidoptera; Nymphalidae
Description: misc RNA ENSMCXG00005002953.1
Source: RNAcentral